GACGAACCGUGCGAACGUUAUUCGGAAUCACUGGGCUUAAAGGGAGCGUAGGCGGGCUAUCAAGUCUGGGGUGAAAUCCCACGGCUCAACCGUGGAACUGCCUCAGAUACUGAUGGCCUCGAGGGAGAUAGGGGCAUGCGGAACUGUAGGUGGAGCGGUGAAAUGCGUUGAUAUCUACAGGAACUCCGGUGGCGAAAGCGGCGUGCUGGAUCUCUUCUGACGCUGAGGCUCGAAAGCUAGGGGAGCAAUGGG
This 252-nucleotide ribosomal RNA is filed under the name uncultured bacterium. RNAcentral's name for it is "partial 16S ribosomal RNA". It matches the Rfam family "Bacterial small subunit ribosomal RNA", at positions 524 to 775 of the family's 1533-position model. The record is from RNAcentral.